Long non-coding RNA from Gallus gallus (chicken), 3102 nucleotides. RefSeq lists it as uncharacterized. The transcript has 2 exons. NCBI's taxonomy places the organism in Eukaryota, Metazoa, Chordata, Aves, Galliformes, Phasianidae. The record is from RefSeq and is a predicted model, not a curated record.
GCGCGCGGUCUUUUUCACUUUCGCUUGCUGCCAGGGAGAGGAGUGGGUGUGCUUCCAAGCCGUGCGCCUUCAUCAACUUUCCUCUGGCUUAAUAUCAUGAAUGCUGUAUGCUUUGGGAGCUUCUCAAACAUUAUGAGGUAAACUAAUAAGAUGAGAGUAUCUGCUUUUCUCUUUACCUUGUUAUGGCUGAUCAAGCCUCAGGUGUCCAGCUCCAGCAAUGAAAGAACUGUCAGUGUACCUUUCCUGAGCUUUCCUUGUUCCUAUUAGCAAUGAGACUAGAGUCUCACAGAGAAAACACUGUUCUUCCAAAUUCGUAAAUCUGGCUUAAACUGGAAGGCUUAUUCAGGGAUUAAUUCUACCUCAGUGCUUGCAUAGGAUCUAAUAUAGCAAUGGCCAAGAUGAGGUACUGGGACUUACUGAAAAGCAAAUUAAAUAAAUAAAAAGGCUAGACUUGUCACUCUGCAAAGAUUGUUAUCAGUAAAUAGUAUGAAUCCUGGUGGCUCUACUGUGACGUGAAAUGUGAAAAAACACACAGCAAUCAGUGGCUGUGUACUUUCAGGAAGGUGUAGACUUUUCCAUCUCUAGGUUUUGCAAAAGCUACAUUUGAAAUGCAGCACUUUCGCUCAGCAGAAUCAGCCACACAAACUUUCCAAGCCUUCAAAUCAAUGCUGCCUUCACCUUAGUAGGUAUGAAGGUGAGUAUGUCACCAAUUGUACCGAUUAUACCAACAAUUGUUGUUUCUCAUAAACAGUGUCAGCCAGAUGUGGCCUAUAAGACACUAUUCAGGAUUAGAUUCAAAAAGUUUUUGCACUUCUUCUAAGGCUGAAGACAAAAAUUGAAGAUAUUAAUUGCACUGCUUAUAGCUUCAGUCUCUCCAUCUGAAUGAGAUGCUUUGUGGUUUCUAUAAACCCCAGGAGUAUGAUGCUUGAAGCUGAAAUAUAUUUCCGGACAGAUUUUUGCCUUAUUAUAUCUAUUGGGAUUGAAAACACUGCCACUUAGAAAUGCCAUAAAAACCUCUAUUUAUACAUAACAGUAUUGUUUCCAGAAAUGCUUUGAAAAAUCACCUCCAUUAAUAUUUAUCCUUCUUGUCUCACACAGGGGAGUUAUUUUUUGAUUAUAUAUAUAGCAUAACCAAUGUCAUUCUGAAAAACCCUGAGAAAGAUUGUAUAAUAAAAAAAGCUUCAUUCUGCCAGUGUACAAUAUGGAGAUAAAAGAAAUUUUACUAUUACUGUGGAGUCUGAAAGGGGCAAGAGUGAUCAAAAUUGCAGACAGGUGUUUUUUUCGCCCCAAAAUAUGCUAAGAGAUACUGACACUACUGUAUUCCUGUUGUACAAAAAUGAUUUAUGACAGAAUCAUGUGCCAUACAUUCAUGCUAACUAUAUUAAAUAUAAUUUGCGAUAAAAUCUAAAACAUACCAUAUUUGUUAUGCUUCUGAAAUUCAGACCAUUAUUGUAGAUGAUUUAUUAAUUUGAUUAUAAUUUUCUUAAUGAUUUAUUUAUUUUGAGACCAUCUAAAGAACCUGAAGGUGCACAAAUCCAUAGGACCCAACAAGAACUAUCCAUGAGUUAUGAGGGAAGUGGCUGAAGAUGCCAAGCUGCUAUUCAUCAUAUUUGAAAGGUCAUGGCAGUCUAGUGAAGUUCCCACCAACUGGAAAAGGGGAAACAUAAUCCCCAUUUUCAAGAAGGAAAAAAAGAAGAUCCAGGGAGCUAGAGGCCAGUCAGUCUCACCACUGUGCCUGGCAAGAUCAUGGAACAGAUCCUCCUGAAGGCUCUACUAAGGCACAUGGGAAAUAAAGACAAGGUGACUCGUGGUAACCAACGUGACUUCACCAAGGAUAAGUCAUGCCUGACAGACAUGGUGGCCUUUUAUGAUGGAGUUACAGCAUCAAUGUAUAAAGGAAAAGUAAAUGAUGUCAUCUACCUGGACUUGUGCAAAGCAUUUGACACUGUCCCACACAACAUCCUGGUCAUCAAAUUGGAAGAAAAUAAAUUUGAUGGAUGGACUACUCACUGAAUAAGGGAUUGGCUGGAUGGUUGCACUCAGAAAGUUGUGGUCAAUAGCUCAGUUUCCAAGCGGAGAUUGAUGAUGAGAUGAGUGGCGUUCCUCAGGGAUUGGUGUUGGGAUUGGUAUUAUAUAAUAUCUUUGUAGGCAACAUGGACAGUUGGAUUGCACCCUCAGCAAGUUUGCAGGUGACAUCAAGCUGAGUUGUAUAGUUAACACGCUAGAGGGAAGGAAUGCCAUUCAGAGGGACCUGGACAGGCUUGAGAGGUGGGCCCAUGCCAACCUCAUGAAGUUCAAAGAGGUGAAGUCCUACACCUGGGUCAAGGCACUCUCAAGCACAGAUACAGGUUGGGUGGAAAAUGGCUUGAGAGCAGCCCUGAAAAGAAGGAUUUGACUGUGUGAUUGAUGAAAGAUUCAACAAGAGCUGGCAAGUGUGCACUUCCAGCCCAGAAGGCCAACUGUAUCCUGGGUUGCAUCAAGAAAAGUAUGACCUGGAAGUCAAAGGAGGUGAUUCUGACGCUCUACUCUGUGGAAAGACCUCACCUAGAGUACUGCAUCUGGUUCUGGAGCUCCCAGCACAAGAAGGACAUGGAGUUCUUUGAGCAGGUUCAGAGGAGGGCCACGAAGAUGAUCAGAGGGCUGGAGCACCUCCUCUACGCUCCAUAGCCUGGAGAAGAGAAGGCUCUGAAGAAGAUUUUGUAGCAGCCUUCCAGUACUUGAAAGGGGACUACAGGAAAGCUGGGGAGGGACUUUUUAGAAGGGCCAGUAGCAUCAGGAAAAGUGGAAAUAGUUUUGAGCUGGAAGGGUGUGGAUUUAGACUAGAUAUUAGGAAGAAAUUAUUUACUGUGAGGGUGGUGAAGUGCUGGAACAGGUUGCCCAGUGAGGUUGUGAAUGCCCUCUCCUUAGAAACAUUCAAGGUCAGGUUGAAUGGGACUUCAAGCAACCUGGUCCAGACAGAGGUGUCCCUGCCUAUAGCAAGUGUGUUGGAACUAGAUGAUACUAAAGGUCCCUUCCAACCCUAACUAUUCUAUGAUUCUAUGAUUAAAGCCUAUGAAUUUUAAACUGGAAUUUGGAAUCCUGCCAUUAAAUAAUCUUAAACAA